UACGGAGGGGGCUAGCGUUGUUCGGAAUUACUGGGCGUAAAGCGCGCGUAGGCGGCUAUACGAGUCAGAGGUGAAAUCCCGGAGCUUAACUCCGGAACUGCCUUUGAAACUGUAUGGCUGGAGUGUGUGAGGGGAUAGCGGAAUUGCUAAUGUAGAGGUGAAAUUCGUAGAUAUUAGCAGGAACACCGGUGGCGAAGGCGGCUAUCUGGCACACAACUGACGCUGAGGUGCGAAAGCGUGGGGAUCAAACAGG
Molecule: ribosomal RNA, 253 nt
Filed under: uncultured bacterium
Lineage: Bacteria
Description: partial 16S ribosomal RNA
Rfam family: Bacterial small subunit ribosomal RNA
Source: RNAcentral